GGGGCGGUAGUCUAGAGGGUAUCUCGCUCUGCGUUGUAGUGUUUGAAAACUAUAACCUCUUCAUCGCAGAGAGAUCGGUGGUUCGAUUCCAUCCCGCCCCU
Molecule: transfer RNA, 101 nt
Filed under: Colletotrichum orbiculare MAFF 240422
Lineage: Eukaryota; Fungi; Ascomycota; Sordariomycetes; Glomerellales; Glomerellaceae
Description: tRNA-Thr for anticodon UGU
Rfam family: tRNA
About the family: Transfer RNA (tRNA) molecules are approximately 80 nucleotides in length.
Source: RNAcentral